GACGAACGCUGGCGGCGUGCUUAACACAUGCAAGUCGAGCGGUAAGGCCCUUUCGGGGGUACACGAGCGGCGAACGGGUGAGUAACACGUGGGUGACCUGCCCUCAGCUCUGGGAUAAGCCUGGGAAACCGGGUCUAAUACUGGAUAUGACUCCAUGACGCAUGUUGUGGGGUGGAAAGCCUUGUGCGGCUGUAGGAUGGGCCCGCGGCCUAUCAGCUUGUUGGUGGGGUGANGGCCUACCAAGGCGACGACGGGUAGCCGGCCUGAGAGGCGACCGGCCACACUGGGACUGAGACACGGCCCAGACUCCUACGGGAGGCAGCAGUGGGGAAUCUUGCGCAAUGGGCGAAAGCCUGACGCAGCGACGCCGCGUGAGGGAUGGACGGCCU
RNAcentral lists this ribosomal RNA (389 nucleotides) under uncultured bacterium. RNAcentral's name for it is "bacterial SSU rRNA". It matches the Rfam family "Bacterial small subunit ribosomal RNA", at positions 28 to 418 of the family's 1533-position model. The record is from RNAcentral.